Molecule: ribosomal RNA, 203 nt
Filed under: Staphylococcus warneri
Lineage: Bacteria; Bacillati; Bacillota; Bacilli; Caryophanales; Staphylococcaceae
Description: partial 23S ribosomal RNA
Rfam family: Bacterial large subunit ribosomal RNA
Source: RNAcentral
GCUGGUUCUCUCCGAAAUAGCUUUAGGGCUAGCCUCAAGUGAUGAUUAUUGGAGGUAGAGCACUGUUUGGUCCAGGGGCCCGUUUCGGGUUACCGUAUUCAUACAAACUCAGAAUGCAAAUUAAUUUAACUUGGGAGUCUGAACAUGGUUGAUAAGGUCCGUGUUAGCAAUUGAAACAGCCAAGACCAACAGCUAAGGUCCCA